This 371-nucleotide ribosomal RNA is filed under the name uncultured bacterium. RNAcentral's name for it is "bacterial SSU rRNA". It matches the Rfam family "Bacterial small subunit ribosomal RNA", at positions 525 to 896 of the family's 1533-position model. The record is from RNAcentral.
ACGUAGGACCCGAGCGUUGUCCGGAUUUACUGGGUAUAAAGGGUGCGUAGGCGGCCUUGUGCGUCAGAGGUGAAAUAUCCGGGCUUAACCCGGAGGGUGCCUUUGAUACGGCAGGGCUUGAGUGCGAGAGAGGAUGAUGGAAUUCCUGGUGUAGCGGUGAAAUGCGUAGAUAUCAGGAGGAACACCGGUGGCGAAGGCGGUCAUCUGGCUCGUAACUGACGCUGAGGCACGAAAGCGCGGGGAUCAAACAGGAUUAGAUACCCUGGUAGUCCGCGCCCUAAACGAUGUAUGCUUGGUGUUGGGUCCGCAAGGGCUCAGUGCCGUAGGGAAUCUGAUAAGCAUACCACCUGGGGAGUACGAUCGCAAGGUUG